GAUGAACGCUGGCGGCGUGCCUAAUACAUGCAAGUCGAGCGAACAGAUGAGGAGCUUGCUCCUCUGACGUUAGCGGCGGACGGGUGAGUAACACGUGGAUCACCUACCUAUAAGACUGGGAUAACUUCGGGAAACCGGAUCUAAUACCGGAUAAUAUAUUGAACCGCAUGGUUCAAUAGUGAAAGACGGUUUUGCUGUCUCUUAUAGAUGGAUCCGCGCCGCAUUAGCUAGUUGGUAAGGUAACGGCUUACCAAGGCGACGAUGCGUAGCCGACCGGGGAGGGUGAUAGGCCACACUGGAACUGAGACACGGUCCAGACUCCUACGGGAGGCAGCAGUAGGGAAUCUUCCGCAAUGGGCGCAAGCCUGACGGAGCAACGCCGCGUGAGUGAUGAAGGUCUUCGGAUCGUAAAACUCUGUUAUUAGGGAAGAACAACUGUGUAAGUAUCUAUGCCCGUCUUGACGGUACCUAAUCAGAAAGCCCCGGCUAACUACGUG
RNAcentral lists this ribosomal RNA (497 nucleotides) under uncultured bacterium. RNAcentral describes it as "partial 16S ribosomal RNA". It matches the Rfam family "Bacterial small subunit ribosomal RNA", at positions 28 to 507 of the family's 1533-position model. The record is from RNAcentral.